RNAcentral lists this ribosomal RNA (670 nucleotides) under uncultured Gammaproteobacteria bacterium. Its description in RNAcentral is "bacterial SSU rRNA". It matches the Rfam family "Bacterial small subunit ribosomal RNA", at positions 65 to 724 of the family's 1533-position model. Lineage: Bacteria; Pseudomonadati; Pseudomonadota; Gammaproteobacteria. The record is from RNAcentral.
AGCGGAAACGAGAAGGUGCUUGCACCUUCGGCGUCGAGCGGCGGACGGGUGAGUAAUGGCUGGGUACCUGCCCUGAUGUGGGGGGUAACAGUUGGAAACGACUGCUAAUACCGCAUAACGUCUACGGACCAAAGAGGGGGAUCUUCGGACCUCUCGCGUCAGGAUGGGCCCAGUUGGGAUUAGCUAGUUGGUGAGGUAACGGCUCACCAAGGCGACGAUCCCUAGCUGGUUUGAGAGGAUGAUCCGCCACACUGGAACUGAGACACGGUCCAGACUCCUACGGGAGGCAGCAGUGGGGAAUAUUGCACAAUGGGGGAAACCCUGAUGCAGCCAUGCCGCGUGUGUGAAGAAGGCCUUCGGGUUGUAAAGCACUUUCAGCUGUGAGGAAGGGUGAGUCGUUAAUAGCGGUUUAUCUUGACGUUAGCAGCAGAAGAAGCACCGGCUAACUCCGUGCCAGCAGCCGCGGUAAUACGGAGGGUGCGAGCGUUAAUCGGAAUUACUGGGCGUAAAGCGCAUGCAGGCGGUCUGUUAAGCAAGAUGUGAAAGCCCCGGGCUCAACCUGGGAAAGUCAUUUUGAACUGGCAGGCUAGAGUCUUGUAGAGGGGGGUAGAAUUUCAGGUGUAGCGGUGAAAUGCGUAGAGAUCUGAAGGAAUACCGGUGGCGAAGGCGG